This 92-nucleotide microRNA precursor is filed under the name Phalacrocorax carbo (great cormorant). Its description in RNAcentral is "mir-1451 microRNA precursor family". It matches the Rfam family "mir-1451 microRNA precursor family". Lineage: Eukaryota; Metazoa; Chordata; Aves; Suliformes; Phalacrocoracidae. The record is from Rfam by way of RNAcentral.
AGCACAGGAGCUGCUGUCUCGCACAGGAGCAAGUUACCGCGUUCACCUAAUCUGCAGUAACUUGUUCCUGUGAGAGGUAGCGUCUCCUGGCU